AUUCACCUCGUGAUAUUUUCACCUCCCGCCAGCUUAUACUUGUGCGUGUCACAUUCUAAAAAUCUUAAAUUGGUGAGUAUAUGUGUGUUUUACUAUUAGAACUAUACCAGUUUUCAAUUCGAAAAUUUCCACUGCAUUCAAAUCGAUAAUUUCAAAUCGAUAAGUUCAAACAAUCGAUCAUUUCGACUUAUUUAUUCUCGAUAUUUAAAUAAAAGGGGGAAAAAAAUUAAGUUUCUCUCUCUCCAAGCAGCACAUCUUUAUCAUUUUUAAUCGGGGGAGUUUGUUCAAUACUUGUUCUCAAACCUCUCAUUUCAAGUUUGAUAUUGUUUGACUGAUUGAUUCAUCGAUGGAUCACGUCCAAUGAAAAUGUGUUUCAUUUUACCGAAAAAGUGAUGGUUUCUAUAUCAAUUUCAGAUACUUCUUCGUUUUUUUACACCUGUCAUCCGUGCGACCAUCGUCUGCCCGCCCUCCUCGUUCUUAUUCUCACCCGACAUCCAAAAAUGGACUCCUUCAACGAUGCCCAAGAAGAGAGGAUAUUGGCUAAGGAUCUAACCGUGGGUGGAAGAUAUCCAAUCAUCUCGCUUGCCAACUUCAAGGGGGAUUACGGGCUCGGGCUCUACGCUUGGAUUCGAGCCGAGGGGAAAGAGCGUAUGCUCAUACUCCCCUCGAUUUUUGCCAGAAAAGUAAGCGAGGAGGAUAUCUCGUCCAUCAAUCAAGGGACGGGGUAUAUCCUCGUCUACAAAGGACCGGCAGGACGGACCCAUUUGUACAAAAUGGAAAAAGAGUGAGGUAAAAAUUAAAAACAAUUUGCAUGAUCAUCAACAUGAUCAUCACCGUCAUUAUCACCAUCCAUCCGGCAACCAUGUGGGCAACCAUGAAGUUGGGCAAGCAUGUGGGCAACCAAGGAGUUGACCAACCAGACAGGGGAUCCUUAAUGAGGAUUAAGGAUUAUUAUUAUCAUUAUCAUUAUCAUUAUCAUUAUUAUUAGUAUUAUUAAUUCGGCUUUUUUUUUUCUUUUUUUCCUAUCCAUGCAAUCUCACUCACUCGGACCCGAACAGCGCUAUGAGUCAAAUGGCAUCGGAGAAAAUCCCGCAAGCUCUCGCCGUUCUCUCCCGUUUCG
This 1120-nucleotide long non-coding RNA is filed under the name Bemisia tabaci. RNAcentral's name for it is "lncRNA ENSSSA2NGG005645". The record is from RNAcentral. Lineage: Eukaryota; Metazoa; Arthropoda; Insecta; Hemiptera; Aleyrodidae.